GGAGGGACUAGAGGGAGGGAGGGAGGGAUGGCGUGGCGGCGGCCAUGUCCAAGUGCCUGGAGCUUGGUCUUCUUCCUCGGCUUGCUGCUCGCGGAGGCCGUCCAUGGCGCAGGGGCUCAGGCGGCCGCUCCUCCUCCGGCUCCUAGGCUCGUCCCGGCAGAAGGGCGUGUCCUUCGCCGGAUCGCGGCCGCGCUCGGCGUGUCGCACUGGGACUUCGCCGCCGGUCCCUGCGACUACAGCGGCUCCGGUGUGCACUGUGACUGCUCCUUCUCCAACGGCACCGUCUGCUAUGUCACCGAGAUAUCCCUCGAGAAGCAGAACUUCUCCGGCGAGCUCCCGCCUGACUUCGCCGACUUCCCCAACCUUCUCCAGCUAGAUCUGAGCAGGAACUUGUUCCAUGGUGGAGUGCCUGACCAGUGGGCCCGAAUGAAUAAGCUACAAGGACUGUCAAUGAUGGGAAAUAGAUUGUCAGGGCCAUUUCCCAUGGUUCUCACAAAGAUCACAACCCUGACUAACCUGAGCAUUGAAGGCAACGAAUUCCAUGGGCCAAUCCCUCCUGAAAUUGGAGGUCUCAUUCGAAUGCAGAAGCUAAUAUUAUCAGCCAAUGAGUUCACUGGACCCCUUCCAACUGCUCUUUCAUUGUUCAGUAAUUUAACUGACUUGAGGAUUUCUAGCACCAAUUUUUCCGGAAGGAUGCCUGAUUUCUGGGGGAAAUUGAAAAGACUUGAGAAAUUGCAAAUCGAAGGAUCUUUGUUGCAAGGGCCUAUUCCCUUAAGCCUAUCAGAAUUGACAAACCUUUACGAUCUGAGAAUUAGUGAUCUUAGAGGGAGUGGAUCAGCUUUACCUGAUUUAAGUGGAAUGCAAUCCAUGAAAACAUUGGUACUUAGGAAAUGUUCCAUCAGUGGAAGCAUCCCAUCUUAUAUUGGCUCAUGGACAACUCUUAAGCAUCUAGAUCUGAGUUUUAAUAAACUAAGUGGAGAAAUACCACCUUCUUUUGCUAACAUGCGAGGUGUAGAUUACAUAUAUCUGACGGGAAAUUCACUCACUGGGAACAUACCUGGAUGGAUAUUGAGAAGAAACAAGAUCGCAGACAUAUCUUUCAAUAACUUCACAGUGGGGAAUUCAGGACCGAGCCAAUGCCUUCCAGGGAGUGUCAAUCUGGUGGAGAGCUAUUCACCUGAAAUGAACAGUUUAAAUAGUGUUCAGCCAUGCUUAAAGAGGAAUUUCCCGUGUGUUGCUUCGAAUGGGCAAUAUCGAUCUUCAUUGUAUAUUAAUUGUGGUGACAAAGAAGCAACUAUCAAUGGAAUUAAAUAUGAAGCUGACACAACACCCAAAGGGGCUUCAUUGCUGUAUGUAACCCCAGGCUCAAACUGGGCAUUCAGCAGCACUGGGAAUUUUAUGGACGACAACAUAAAUGACGACAACUACAUUGCAACAAGUGCAUCAAAAUUGACCGUGCCCAAUUCAGAGUUGUACACUAAAGCCCGUCUUUCUCCUCUUUUGCUCACAUAUUAUGGGCUUUGCAUGUUAAGUGGGAGCUACACAGUUAAUCUCCACUUUGCUGAAAUUUGUUUUCACAAAUGACACCACAUAUUGUAGCCUUGGCAAAAGAAGAUUCAACGUGUUCAUACAGGGAAGAAUGGUGCUCGAGAAUUUCAAUAUUGAGCAGUUCUCUGGUGCAGCUGGAAAACCAGUUAUCAAGACUUUCCAAACACAUGUCACAAAUCAUACUCUAGAGAUUCAGUUCUAUUGGGCAGGAAGAGGGACAACAGGCAUUCCAUAUAGAGGUUCUUAUGGCCCUCUGAUAUCUGCAAUAUCAGUAACUCCAAAUUUCCAGAUUCCGCUGGCUGUUGAACCUCCAGCAACUCGAGAUAGCAAAAGGAGUUCAAGGGCAUCCAUUGCUUUAGUGAUUGGAAUCCCAACUAUAUCAAUAUUCACAACUCUAAUUGUUGGCAUUUAUUGUAUUAAGAAGCGGAAAAGGAGUUUGAUGGAUAAAGAACUCAGAGCUCUUGACCUGCAAAUUGGCUCCUUCACUUUGCGUCAAAUCAAAGCGGCAACUAGGAACUUCGAUGCAGCUAACAAGAUUGGUGAAGGUGGCUUUGGUUCAGUUUACAAGGGUUUAUUAUCCGAUGGCACCAUCAUCGCUGUCAAGCAGUUAUCAUCAAGGUCUAAACAAGGGAACCGGGAAUUUGUGAAUGAGAUAGGCAUGGUAUCUGCACUCCAGCAUCCUAACCUUGUCAAACUUUAUGGCUGUUGUACAGAAGGAAACCAGCUGUCACUGGUUUAUGAGUAUAUGGAAAACAAUUGCCUUGCACGAGCUCUUUUCGUUGAACAAUACAGACUGAGACUGGAUUGGCCAACAAGAUACAAGAUUUGCCUUGGGAUAGCAAGAGGUCUAGCAUAUCUGCAUGAGGAAUCCGCAAUAAGGAUUGUGCACCGAGAUAUCAAGGCCAGCAAUAUACUGCUUGACAAAGAUUUGAAUGCUAAGAUUUCAGAUUUUGGGCUAGCAAAGCUUAAUGAAGACGAUCACACCCACAUAAGCACAAAAGUAGCUGGAACAAUCGGAUACAUGGCUCCUGAGUAUGCUAUGCGUGGUUAUUUAACAGACAAAGCUGAUGUAUACAGUUUUGGUGUUGUUGCUUUGGAAGUUGUCAGUGGAAAAAGUAACACAAACUACAGGCCGAAGGAAGACUUUGUUUAUCUUCUAGAUUGGGCUUGUGUUCUACAUGAGAGAGGAACUCUCCUAGAAUUGGUAGAAUCAGAUCUAGGAUCUAAUUACUCAACAGAAGAGGCACUCCUGGUGUUGAAUGUUGCCCUGCUAUGCACAACUGCGGCGCCUACACUCAGACCAAAGAUGUCGAAAGUUGUUAGCCUGCUUGAGGGCCACACCCCUCUCCAGCCCUUGCUGUCAGACCUCAGCCUUGCAGCAAAUAGCCUGAGCUCAAGUGGUGUACGCCGGAACUUUUGGCAAAACCCAAGUGAGAGCCAGAGCCUGACAGCAGAAGCUUCGUAUAAUGACACUAAUGAACCAUCAACCAUAGAUAUAGAUGGUAGCCUGAGACCAUUGAUAAGUUAGAUGAAGAUGAUGUGCAUCAUAAACCAGGUGUACAUGUAAGAACUAUUAGGGAUAUGCCAGUAUGAUUAUAUCAACUUAUCAAGUAUCAACAGUGCAAUGUAAAUAUCAAGUAGCAAUAAUUUAGCAUAAAAUCGUUUAAUUCUGGUACGUUUGAAGCAUUUUAGCUGUCUCUGCUUCAGAUUCCAUGGGAAUAUUAAGGUAAUGAAUGAUGACCAUGAUGCAGCACUA
RNA transcript from Panicum virgatum (switchgrass), 3304 nucleotides. It is a transcript of the gene named probable LRR receptor-like serine/threonine-protein kinase At1g07650, with no coding region annotated. NCBI's taxonomy places the organism in Eukaryota, Viridiplantae, Streptophyta, Magnoliopsida, Poales, Poaceae. The transcript has 24 exons. The record is from RefSeq and is a predicted model, not a curated record.